RNAcentral lists this ribosomal RNA (373 nucleotides) under Amanita perpasta. RNAcentral's name for it is "eukaryotic LSU rRNA". The stretch from base 1 to 105 matches the Rfam family "5.8S ribosomal RNA", at positions 50 to 154 of the family's 154-position model. Lineage: Eukaryota; Fungi; Basidiomycota; Agaricomycetes; Agaricales; Amanitaceae. The record is from RNAcentral.
GAAAUGCGAUAAGUAAUGUGAAUUGCAGAAUUCAGUGAAUCAUCGAGUUUUUGAACGCAUCUUGCGCUCCUUGGCAGUCCGAGGAGCAUGCCUGUUUGAGUGUCGUUAAAUUCUCUCAAAGCCAUUAGAAUUUACGGAUUUUGGAUGGCUCUGGAAUAUGGGAAGUUGCAGGUAGUAGUAAUACUCUGUAUUGGCCCUGCUAUCCUGAAAAGCAUAUGCAGAGCGUUGGAUGGUUGCUCUUAUUGGUGUGAUAAGCGAAUUUGAUCACCAARAAAGAGAGAGAACUACAAAGAAGUCUCUGCUGCAAGGGUUGUCCGUUGGGCAAAAAUGACUACUAGACCUCAAAUCAGGUAGGAUUACCCGCUGAACUUAA